CGCUCUGUGAAAAUAUACAGAGUCGNGCCUGCCCAGUGAUAAUAAUUUAACGGCCGCGGUACUCUGACCGUGCAAAGGUAGCAUAAUCAUUUGCCCUAUAAUUGAGGGCUAGCAUAAACGGUUUAACAAGAGUAUACCUGUCUCUUAAAAAAUAAAUAAAACUUGGUUUUUAGGUGAAGAAACCUAAAUAACAUUGAAAGACAAGAAGACCCUAUCGAACUUAAAAAAAUUUUACUGAACACUAAAAACUAAUAUCACUAAAAAAUUUUGGUUGGGGCGACCAAGGAACAACAAAAGCUUCCUCUAAACAAUAAAUACAAAUAAGUAUUGAUCCAAAAACUGAUUAAAAAAAUUAGCUACCGUAGGGAUAACAGCAUAAUCUUUUUUAAGAGUUCUUAUCGAAAAAAAGGUUUGUGACCUCGAUGUUGGACUAGGAUAUCCUGAUAGACGCAGAAGUCUUCAAAGGUUGGUCUGUUCGACCAAUAAAAUCCU
Molecule: ribosomal RNA, 492 nt
Filed under: Bythinella lancelevei
Lineage: Eukaryota; Metazoa; Mollusca; Gastropoda; Littorinimorpha; Amnicolidae
Description: partial 16S ribosomal RNA
Rfam family: Bacterial large subunit ribosomal RNA
Source: RNAcentral